Molecule: ribosomal RNA, 719 nt
Filed under: Lactococcus lactis
Lineage: Bacteria; Bacillati; Bacillota; Bacilli; Lactobacillales; Streptococcaceae
Description: bacterial SSU rRNA
Rfam family: Bacterial small subunit ribosomal RNA
Source: RNAcentral
UUUGGAAACGAAUGCUAAUACCGCAUAACAACUUUAAACACAAGUUUUAAGUUUGAAAGAUGCAAUUGCAUCACUCAAAGAUGAUCCCGCGUUGUAUUAGCUAGUUGGUGAGGUAAAGGCUCACCAAGGCGAUGAUACAUAGCCGACCUGAGAGGGUGAUCGGCCACAUUGGGACUGAGACACGGCCCAAACUCCUACGGGAGGCAGCAGUAGGGAAUCUUCGGCAAUGGACGAAAGUCUGACCGAGCAACGCCGCGUGAGUGAAGAAGGUUUUCGGAUCGUAAAACUCUGUUGGUAGAGAAGAACGUUGGUGAGAGUGGAAAGCUCAUCAAGUGACGGUAACUACCCAGAAAGGGACGGCUAACUACGUGCCAGCAGCCGCGGUAAUACGUAGGUCCCGAGCGUUGUCCGGAUUUAUUGGGCGUAAAGCGAGCGCAGGUGGUUUAUUAAGUCUGGUGUAAAAGGCAGUGGCUCAACCAUUGUAUGCAUUGGAAACUGGUAGACUUGAGUGCAGGAGAGGAGAGUGGAAUUCCAUGUGUAGCGGUGAAAUGCGUAGAUAUAUGGAGGAACACCGGUGGCGAAAGCGGCUCUCUGGCCUGUAACUGACACUGAGGCUCGAAAGCGUGGGGAGCAAACAGGAUUAGAUACCCUGGUAGUCCACGCCGUAAACGAUGAGUGCUAGAUGUAGGGAGCUAUAAGUUCUCUGUAUCGCAGCUAAC